RNAcentral lists this ribosomal RNA (253 nucleotides) under uncultured bacterium. RNAcentral's name for it is "partial 16S ribosomal RNA". It matches the Rfam family "Bacterial small subunit ribosomal RNA", at positions 524 to 776 of the family's 1533-position model. The record is from RNAcentral.
AACGUAGGAGGGGGGCGUUAUCCGGAGUGACUGGGCGUAAAGCGCGUGUAGGCGGUCAGGCAAGCUGGGUGUGAAAGCGCCAGGCUCAACCUGGCGAGGCCAUCCAAGACUGCGUGGCUGGAGGCAGGUAGAGGAGUGCGGAAUUCCGGGUGUAGCGGUGAAAUGUGUAGAGAUCCGGAGGAACAUCAGUGGUGCAGACGGCGCUCUGGGCCGGACCUGACGCUGAGACGCGAAAGCGUGGGGAGCGAACGGG